GGUAGGAGUGAUUUCUGUAUAGGGUCCAGCUGCGGAUACAGGACUCGGAUUGGUGCACGGAUAUUUAAAUUUGGACCAUUAUGGAGGGAUCAGUAUUCUGACCUGAACCUUGAGAAAGACCCUAGAACGGGGGUAGAAUCGCGUUGGUGUUCCUGUGGUGGCGCUAGUGAGCGGAGCAUUAUGAUCGGGAAGCAGCAGUUACGAUCGCGAGUCGUGUGGGUAUAUCCGGAUUUCCCAUAUUGAACACAUGCGCUGAUAGGGACUGUUUGGCCACAGUUCCCGUUUUUUCUGAUUGGCAAGCAUUUGGACAAGAGAUGUUCUAGAACUGUUUAUGGCAACAAAAAAAAUGCCAUUACUAUAUGUGGUUGCCCAGCAACGGUGUGAAAUGGAGACGUAAUCCCCGUCCAGUGCUCCCGCCGACAGACAGAGCCCUGUGAGUGGCUAGGAUAAGCAGAGGGAAGCGUCUUCAAUGACGUCUUGAGCUUAGGGUUGCUUGGCAACGGGAUUCUCGUUCCCGCGAUAGACUCCCCGCUCGACGCAGCAGGCUGACGUCACCACUCCGUGACCUGGAUGCCGCACAGUGUGUUAUACUGUAGCCGCCGGCGCCUGGACAGGAAAUUAUGUCAAUCACACUUAUAGCUGUGAGGUGGACCUUGAGACACUACGUCAGGGAGUGGAUUGGAUAGUGCUAUUUGAAUCCAUCUGGUUUGUCCUUUUAUUUUUGAAGUCCAAUAGGAUUUAAUAGAAAGGAAUACAUUCUCAGCAAUUCCACGCUUUGUUUGUAUUGACAUAUUUUGGUGAAGCCAUUUUUUGGUAUGUAUAACCGCUUUAAUUAACCAACUGAGUAUCUUCAAUGUGAUCAUUCUCAUUCAAACCAGAUGUUAUUCUUACAGUCAUCAUACAAUUUGUUUAUCAGUGUACAUCCCAUGAA
This is a long non-coding RNA of Pseudophryne corroboree (corroboree frog), 931 nucleotides long. RefSeq lists it as uncharacterized. The transcript has 6 exons. NCBI's taxonomy places the organism in Eukaryota, Metazoa, Chordata, Amphibia, Anura, Myobatrachidae. The record is from RefSeq and is a predicted model, not a curated record.